AUUAACUGUAGCUCAAGGGUAGAGUGGAUAACUUUUAAUUAUCUUGUUAUAGGUUCGAGCCCUAUCAGUUAAA
This 73-nucleotide transfer RNA is filed under the name Puccinia triticina. RNAcentral describes it as "tRNA-Lys". It matches the Rfam family "tRNA". Rfam says of the family: Transfer RNA (tRNA) molecules are approximately 80 nucleotides in length. Their secondary structure includes four short double-helical elements and three loops (D, anti-codon, and T loops). The record is from RNAcentral. Lineage: Eukaryota; Fungi; Basidiomycota; Pucciniomycetes; Pucciniales; Pucciniaceae.